UACGGAGGGGGCAAGCGUUAUCCGGAAUCACUGGGUUUAAAGGGUGCGUAGGCGGCCUGAUAAGUCAGGGGUGAAAGCUCACCGCUCAACGGUGGAACUGCCUUUGAUACUGUCAGGCUCGAAUCGGCGCGAGGCAGGCGGAAUGUGGCAUGUAGCGGUGAAAUGCUUAGAUAUGCCAUAGAACACCGAUUGCGAAGGCAGCUUGCCAGAGCCUUGAUUGACGCUGAGGCACGAAAGCGUGGGGAGCGAACAGG
Molecule: ribosomal RNA, 254 nt
Filed under: uncultured bacterium
Lineage: Bacteria
Description: partial 16S ribosomal RNA
Rfam family: Bacterial small subunit ribosomal RNA
Source: RNAcentral